AAUAAUUUAAGAGUUUAUAUAUUUUAUAGGCAUUUAAAUUAAAUUUUUAACCUUUUCUUAGCCUAAUUUUGUAGAAUUAUUUUUUUAGCCCUAUUAUAUUCUUGCAAGAGGCCCAAUUUCAAGCCCUACAAGACUUGGUCCAUACCCCUUCUUCAUCAAAGAAAACCCUACACUUCAUCUUCUUCAUAUUACACAAUACAAGACCUAAACCCUAGCACCAAAACAAUAAUGGAGGAAAUAAGCAAAACCUUAGCUACUUCAUCUCUUUCUUCCAUACCAAAACCCUAACCACUAGAAGCCGCCGCGAAACAGCCCUCCACGGCGGAAACAAAUCGCCGCUGCUCCCCCUCAUCUCUUCUUCUUCAUACCACCAUAAACGACCACUCUCCAACACUUCUCCAAACGACCAUCUCCAACCAACGUCAUCAAAUCGCCGCCGGCAAUACCAAACGACCAGCGCCUCACUUCCCUCACAACAUCCCCGAACCCUGUGACACAAAAGCAGCCACCGCUGGACCAUCCAUAGCUACCGCCAGCUGCUAUUUCGUCGACCAGCUAUCAGACCACCUGAACUUCACUCCAAACGUCGUCCAUCUCCAUCGAAGCAACAGCAGCUGCAACUCCAUUCCAACAUCCAACUUCUCCAUCGUUUUUUAUUUGUGUUUCAGUUUAGUUCCAAAACGGAAAAAUAUAAAAAGCAAAAAAAGAAAAGAAGAAGAUAUCUCUACUCUUCAUUACUGUUUUCGGAUUUUGACUUGAAACAUGGAGUUCGAUUGAGUAUUUAGAGGCCGUGUUUGAGUUUGAGUCCUCCGGUGUUGUGCGAUUCGUUGGUUCUGCUCUCUUAUUUCGAGUGCCUGAUAGUCGUUCCUUGCUCAUUUUCAAAUUUGUUUAAGAGUAGACGUCGUUCGGCUUUCGUUCCAGUUAUCAAAGGCGACAAUUUGCUAAUUUGAGGUCUAACUCUCUUCCUUCCUUCUCGCAUUUUUAUUCUCAAACUGUGUUGCUGAUUGAUUGAUUUACAAAAUGGUGUUGUGGCUUAUACUAUAAUUUGUACGUUAAUUUGUUCUUAACAGAAUUGUUAUUAUACUUUGAAUCAUUAAUUCUUUAAUUAAUAACAUAAGAGUCAAUUUAAUUUAUAGUUGUUGGGGGUUUGGUUAUAAAAAUUGAAUUAAAAUGGACAAUAUUUGGAAACAAGAAAGAGGUUCGGGCUUAACAGUAUUUCUGCUACUUUUGUAGCUUUAUUGUAUUCCAUUGGUUCAAGUGAUUGGGUUAAAUUCACUAGUGUGUGUGCUAUAAGGGAUGAUGUUGAUAAUCGGAGUUGGGCUUGAGAUGAACUAAGGGGUUCGGGCAAUAAUCUUAUUAUUUUAUUUUGAUUAUUUGGGUUCGCUAGUAGCAUGUUUAGGCCAACCACACCUGGGUAGGCAAACUUUAGGAUAAUGAACUAAGGGGUCCGGGCAAUAAUCUUAUUGUUUUAUCUUGAUUUAUUUGGGUUCGCUAGUGGCAUGUUUAGGCUAACCACACCCGGGAAGGCAAACUUUAGGAUUUUUGUUAAUUUGAGGGGAUAGGUCGUUCCCAUAGUUAAAUUUGUCCAGGGAAUACCCCGUAAAGUUUGUAUAUAUUAUUAUCCGGGGUAUACCUCGAUGUGAAUAUAAAUGAAGGCCAAAGACUAAGUAACUUGAGGAAGCAUAGAAUAGUACUUUAUUUUUUCUUUUGUUUUUCCUUUAAUAGGUGGGGACGACCUCGAGCUUCUUUGAUUCUUUAGUCUCUUUUUGCGUGUUUUUGCCUUAAUUUGAAUAUUUUAAAAGUCAACUCGAUCGCGUACGCAACUGUGACCUUCACAGGACUUGGGGAGUGUCUAACACCUGCUCCCCGAGUCAAAUGAACCCUCUUACCCGAAUCUCUGGUGCGGUCUUAGUUUUGAUCCAAGUGUUUUAAAAGGAAAAUAUUUUUUAAGAACUGGUGGCUUGGCACACCGAAAUUUAAUGUCAGGUGGUGACUCUGAGUUUAUUUCCUUUUGAACCACCAUUUUUGUCACUUUUUAAUGAAAAACCUUUUUCAAGCUUUAUUAAAUCUUUUUAUUAAUUUUAGAGGGUUUAGUAGAGGUUUGGUUUAAAAUGGGGUGUGACAUCUCUGGCUACUCCGCUGGGGAGUUGCAGGUUCGAGCUAGUACUUGAUCUUGUUGGCUUUUAGGAUUUUCGGUUGAGGUUUUAUGUGUUUUGUUUGCUUUAUUUGAUUUUUAUUUUUGUUUAUGUCGUUUUAUUUGCUUGUUGGUUAUUUGUUUACGUAUUUUUGCUUUAUGUGUUUACUGCUUUAUAACUGUCAUCAUUUGCAUAACCCGGUCAAUUCUUUCUACAAAAAGUCUCAGAGUACGCGCCGGUUGCACGAACUCUUUGUUGAGUCACCCUUUAUUUAGGAGGGGGGCGCCGUCAGACGUAUGGAGUGGGUGGAAAGCUUGAGCAGCCACUAUCGACCAUACGCUCCCUCGAAUUGCCUUGUUAGUGAACCCAAAACUUAGGUCAACCUUUAUGCCAUUUUUAUUUGCAUCAUGUCAUUUAGACCUAGUAGGGCUCGGUCCCAGGCGCCGUGUCCCUUUGUAGGAAGCUUAUCCAAAUUUUAUCAAAAAUGGCCCGUCGCCCAAAAAGACAUUCAAUCAUCACUAUGUGAUACAUGCUGCAUCUUUGAGGGUAAAAAGGUCAUUUGCCGGACCGAUAUUUGGAAAGAAGGGUGAAAAAUGAAGAAAGUAGGGUCCACCUGCAUUUUUCUUUCAUAGUUUUCUAAAAAUAAAAAAAAAAUUAAAUGAGAAAAUCCAAAAAAGAUUUUACACUCUUCCAUUAUUUUCCAAAAAAUUCAAAAAAAAAAAGUAGAAAAUGAAAAAUCCAAAAUGAUUUUACACUUUUUCAUUAUUUUCCAAAAAAUAAAUAAAAAAAGUAGCAAAUGAAAAAUCCAGAACAAGAUUUUAUACUUUUCCAUUAUUUUUCAAAAACUCAAAAAAGGUAGAAAAUGAAAAAUCCAAAAGAUUUUACACUUUCUCAUUAUUUUUUCAAAAAAUUCCAAAAAGUAGAAAAUGAAAAAUAAAAAAAAAAGAUUUUAUACUCUUCCAUUAUUUUCCAAAAAUUCAAAAAAAGUAGAAAAUGAAAAAUCCAAAAAGAUUCUGCACUUUUCAUCUCUUUUUCAAAAAGACCAAAAAAUAGUUUUUAUUUCAAAUUAGAUGCAUUUUUAAAAGAUAUUCUAUCCUAUAUUUAAUCCUCCCGAACUACGCGAACCUGAUUUUCGUCCUUUCGCGGCGAGAUACGUAGGCAACCCACUUAGGGUCCGAUCUUCUAUGAGUCUUAGGUUAUUUAUUGGCUUUGCGGGGUCUUUGCCAAAUCUUGGAUGUCUAGCCACUUUUGACCAUAUCGGCUAUUCUUUUAAAAUGGGGCCAUUUUUGUAAAAAGUGGUUCAAUUACCCAUUUCUUAGAAAUUUUGGGUUACAACUAGGCCCGUCCUUUUGAGUUUGCAUCUUUAGCAACUUUCGGCCACAUACACUCUUUUUUUCAAAAUGAGUUAUUUUGAAAAUUAAUUUUGGGCCAUGAUUAUUGUGUAUUUGAAUCCAUAUAACCCUAGUGUGGUAUUAUUAUGUCUUUGAGGUCACAUUUGUUGAGUUUGCACUAAUAGACAUCCUUGACCACAUAUGUUAAUUUUGCAAAAGUAGCCCAAUCAUGUCUUGCAUGUAUCCAAUAGAAGAUGUCGUGGCGUCGCAUGUGUCUUGAGUCACUAACUCUAUUUAUCUUAUUUUUCCCAUUCAAGUAUGGAGUAAUUUGCUAGAGUUUGAGCAUGACUAAUAUUUAGGAUCAUUCUAGUCAAGACUAUUGCAGGCACCAGCUGCUUGAGGAAACUUUCUAUUUUAUAGUCUAUCUUAUGUUAUCUUUUAAUUUUUAGUCCUCUACAAUAAUAUCGAGUCUGUCAAUCUAGUUAAGGUUUUCCAAUCUUUUGUUGUAGUACUUCUUCUUUUGUAGUUGAAAAUCAAAAAAAAAUUAUAAAUGCAAAAUUCAAAAAGAUUUUUGUCUCUUAAUUUAUUUCCAUCACUUUUCAAGAACUACACUUGAUCUGAUUCAUGAGGGACAUGAUACGUAUGCAACCUACAUAGGGUUUGAUCGAAGCAUUAAAAAGAAAAAAGAAAAGAAAAAGAAAAAAAAAGGAAAAAAGAGAAUGAAGUUAUAGGAUGUGAGAAAUGAGAGGGGAAAAAAGCAAUAAUCAGAAGAAAAAAAAAAGAAAAAGGGAAAACGAAAUAAAAAACUAAGCGGUGUUAGAAGGAAGAUGAAGAAGGAAAUGGGGCAAAAAUGGAGGAAAGAAAAUGAAAAAACAAGGAGGGUUAAAGAGAAAAAUGAAGAAGGAAAUGGGACAAAAAGAGUAAAAUUGGGAUAAUGCCAUAUGACCUUCGUACCCCCGAAUCCAUUCUAGAAUCGUUAACUGUUAAUAGAGGACAUUGCACACAAUGUGAUAUUUAUAUUUGAUAAAUGCUCUAACGCUAACGUGUUGGAUUUGUUUUGCUCCUCUUUGUUACUUCCAUCAUUAUUAUAACAGAGGGUGGUUAGUUUGUGGUACUUUGGUGAUUCGUCCAUACAACACCAGAAAGUACAAGGCAGUCAUGGCUAGCAAAGAAACUGACACUGGAAUUGUUGACCCGCCGAGGGAGAUUCUUGAAUCGGAGUCUGAGUUAAAAGAGGAGGUCCGAAGGUUGAAACAUCAGAUGGCGGAAAUGUAUCAUGCCUGG
RNAcentral lists this long non-coding RNA (4750 nucleotides) under Nicotiana benthamiana. RNAcentral describes it as "long non-coding RNA (NBEN_LNC030054)". Lineage: Eukaryota; Viridiplantae; Streptophyta; Magnoliopsida; Solanales; Solanaceae. The record is from RNAcentral.